Molecule: unclassified non-coding RNA, 341 nt
Filed under: Apioperdon pyriforme
Lineage: Eukaryota; Fungi; Basidiomycota; Agaricomycetes; Agaricales; Lycoperdaceae
Description: Lycoperdon pyriforme partial internal transcribed spacer region
Rfam family: Eukaryotic small subunit ribosomal RNA (bases 1-46)
Source: RNAcentral
AAGUCGUAACAAGGUUUCCGUAGGUGAACCUGCGGAAGGAUCAUUAUUGAAUAUUCCUGAUGAGUUGUAGCUGGCUCUUUGGAGCACGUGCACGCUUGUCUUGAUCUUAUUCAUCCACCUGUGCACAUUUUGUAGUCUUUUGGGCUGAGUCGAGUAUCGGAUGGAUGUCUAUCCGGAUGUGAGGACUGCUGAGUGCGAAAGCAUACGGCUCUUCUCUGUUUGACCUCACCCUUGAGUACUAUGUAUUCAUAUACCACAUAGUAUGUUGUAGAAUGUGAUCAUUGGGCCUUUGUGCCUAUAAUAAUCAUAUACAACUUUCAGCAACGGAUCUCUUGGCUCUC